GAGUAAUCAAUUCAAAACAAUGUGAAUAAAUAAGCCUUAUAUUUGACAAAGGAAUCUGAGUGCUAAAAGGUGAAACCAGCCUUCUUUCACUAAAAUAUCU
Octopus sinensis (East Asian common octopus) is the source of this 100-nucleotide long non-coding RNA. RefSeq lists it as uncharacterized. The record is from RefSeq and is a predicted model, not a curated record. The transcript has 3 exons. Lineage: Eukaryota; Metazoa; Mollusca; Cephalopoda; Octopoda; Octopodidae.